CCUACGGGUGGCAGCAGUGAGGAAUAUUGGUCAAUGGACGAGAGUCUGAACCAGCCAAGUAGCGUGAAGGAUGACUGCCCUAUGGGUUGUAAACUUCUUUUAUAUGGGAAUAAAAUGUUCCACGUGUGGGAUUUUGUAUGUACCAUAUGAAUAAGGAUCGGCUAACUCCGUGCCAGCAGCCGCGGUAAUACGGAGGAUCCGAGCGUUAUCCGGAUUUAUUGGGUUUAAAGGGGACGUAGGUGGGUUGUUAAGUCAGGUGGGAAAGUUUGCGGCUCAACCGUAAAAUUGCAGUUGAAACUGGCAGUCUUGAGUACAGUAGAGGUGGGCGGAAUUCGUGGUGUAGCGGUGAAAUGCUUAGAUAUCACGAAGAACUCCGAUUGCGAAGGCAGCUCACUGGACUGCAACUGACACUGAGGCUCGAAAGUGUGGGUAUCAAACAGGAUUAGAUACCCCGGUAGUC
RNAcentral lists this ribosomal RNA (460 nucleotides) under uncultured bacterium. Its description in RNAcentral is "partial 16S ribosomal RNA". It matches the Rfam family "Bacterial small subunit ribosomal RNA", at positions 338 to 795 of the family's 1533-position model. The record is from RNAcentral.